GACGAACGCUGGCGGCGUGCUUAACACAUGCAAGUCGAACGGAAAGGCCCUGCUUGCAGGGUACUCGAGUGGCGAACGGGUGAGUAACACGUGGGUGAUCUGCCCUGCACUUCGGGAUAAGCCUGGGAAACUGGGUCUAAUACCGGAUAGGAGCCAUUUUUAGUGUGAUGGUUGGAAAGUUUUUUCGGUGUAGGAUGAGCUCGCGGCCUAUCAGCUUGUUGGUGGGGUAAUGGCCUACCAAGGCGGCGACGGGUAGCCGGCCUGAGAGGGUGGACGGCCACAUUGGGACUGAGAGACGGCCCAGACUCCUACGGGAGGCAGCAGUGGGGAAUAUUGCACAAUGGGCGCAAGACUGAUGCAGCGACGCCGCGUGGGGGAUGACGGCCUUCGGGUUGUAAACUCCUUUCGCUAGGGACGAAGCUUUUUGUGACGGUACCUAGAUAAGAAGCACCGGCUAACUACGUG
RNAcentral lists this ribosomal RNA (465 nucleotides) under uncultured bacterium. RNAcentral describes it as "partial 16S ribosomal RNA". It matches the Rfam family "Bacterial small subunit ribosomal RNA", at positions 28 to 507 of the family's 1533-position model. The record is from RNAcentral.